UCCAACUUAACGUUGGCAGUCUCAUUAGAGUGCCCAACUGAAUGCUGGCAACUAAUGACAAGGGUUGCGCUCGUUGCGGGACUUAACCCAACAUCUCACGACACGAGCUGACGACAGCCAUGCAGCACCUGUCUUCCUGUCCCUUUCGGGCCUUCUGUAUCUCUACAGCGUUCAGGAGAUGCCAAACCCAGGUAAGGUUUUUCGCGUUGCAUCGAAUUAAACCACAUGCUCCACCGCUUGUGCGGGCCCCCGUCAAUUUCUUUGAGUUUUAAUCUUGCGACCGUACUCCCCAGGCGGGAUACUUAACGCGUUAGCUCCGGCACUGAAGGGGUCAAUACCUUCAACACCAAGUAUCCAUCGUUUACGGCGUGGACUAC
Molecule: unclassified non-coding RNA, 377 nt
Filed under: uncultured Pseudobdellovibrionaceae bacterium
Lineage: Bacteria; Pseudomonadati; Bdellovibrionota; Bdellovibrionia; Bdellovibrionales; Pseudobdellovibrionaceae
Description: uncultured Bdellovibrionaceae bacterium contains 16S-23S intergenic spacer region
Source: RNAcentral